AGUCGGUGUUUCACUUCCGAACCGUACGGACGUGCUAUUUCACAUACCUACAUCUUCUGCGUGCGGCAACUCGCGGUGUUGUUUUCGUCAAAUAAAACAUCGAUAAUUGCAUAGAAAACAAACUCCACAUGGACCCCUAUUGAGUCUCUCUCCUACAAACAGAUUCUUAUUGGAGAAAAUUCGAUUAUAGAUUACAUAUUUCCGUGUAUUAUAUACCUAUAUUUUCGCGUGUGCACGAAAUCUAUAAAAUAUUUUCCAUUUCAUUGAACAAUUUGAGAUGAUCUUGAGUGAAUUACAAAGUGUUGUGUUUAAAUCUUCUUUUUUUCUUUCUCUCGUCUUUUCGUACCAGACUUUAAUUAUCUUAUUGAAGUCCUGAUAACAGUUACUAGCAUAAGUCUAUAAAGUUUUCACUUCAGUAAAAGAAAAAAAAAACAUUUUUGCGCUAAAUGAUCAUGUUACAUUGAACAGUGCCGGUGAUUUUUUUCUUGGGACUUAAGAAAGAUCGUGUCAUUGUGAUUGCUUCUGUACUGUGAGUGAGGCAAAAAAAAAUCUGCAUAAGAAAAACUAUACAAGCAUAAUUUAACCGCAUUAACAUCUUCAUUCAGUUAAUGAACUGAGAAUGAACCAUCUGUUGGAAGAAAAUUGGUUGAAAAUUUAAUUAAUUGUGGAAAAUCUCAAAAUAAAAUAUAAAGUGAUCGAGUGUUUUAUAGUAUGAUCUACAACGAACUUUAGUACAAAGGAUUAAAAUUGUCUCACAAUGAUAAAUUCAACGACAAAUUCCCUAAAUUGGCGUCAAGAAGUUAAUUGUGCUUCUUGGGCGUCUGAAACGGACAAAAUGAGCCUCUGUGGGUGAUCAGCAACAACAUUCAUCUUUGGGAUUUUUUUGCACAGCAUUUCCUGAUACCAAAAUUAAUUUUGUGAAGAAAAAACUUCCCAGAUAUAUUUAUAAUUGGGACAAUGACUAAUUUAAAUCGAAUACGUGUUGUAGUACUUGGCAGCUCAAAGACAGGGAAAACAGCUGUGACAGUUCGUUACCUGACAAAGCGCUACAUCGGCGAAUACAGCUCAACAAGUGAUUUCCUCUAUCGGCACACAGUUACGUUUGACAAUGUUACGACAGAAGUAGAAAUAAUGGACACGUCGAAAUGUGCUAAAGCCGGGUGUCUUUAUGAGCAUCUGAGAUGGGGAGAUGCCUUCGUUGUUGUCUACUCAAUUUGUGAUAAGUCGAGCUUCCUGGAAGCUGAGGAGUAUCUAUCGCAAUUGGCAAAACUCAAGAUGCCCUCCUACUAUUACACCACACUCCUUCUAGGGAAUAAACGCGAUUUGGAUCACACGAGGAAAGUCUCUGUUGAUGAUGGGCACGAGCUGUCGCUGCAGUAUUCCUGUCUGUUCUACGAAGUCUCCGCUGCUGAAAGUUCAGCCGGUGUCUCUUUAGCUUUCCAAUCUGUACUCCGGGAGGCGCGAUCUGUCCAACUUCUCAAGACGCUGCCAAUAAGGAGGAAACUUGGUGUCAAUAGUGUGUCCAAAGUUCUGGGAAAUAUUUUUGGCAAAAACAGCAGUAAAGACAGAAAAAAGAGACCAUCGUUGAGUAUUUGAGGAAAAUCGCACAAUUUUACAAGAGACUUUUCUUAAAAUAUAAUUUGUGUGAUAUAAUUUAGUUUAAAUUAAGACAAAUUUUUUUUCCAUUUAGACACUGCCCUCAAAAAGUUUUCGAGUGACCAAAAAUAGGCAUAGGGCAAACUGGGGUAAAAUGGUGAACGUGAAAAAAAAAUAUCUCAAGAAAUAGUGGGGGCUAAUCUGUCUAAUUUGGUCAGUUGUUGCACUUUAUAUCCCUGCCUAAGCCUAGAAAGUUUCAUAAUAAUCAAUCCAAUAUUUUGGCUUUUGUUUAAAAAACAAAUUUUUUUAACCUCAAAGCUACUCUGACCUCUCAACUAAAAUUUAAGUUUUGGCGAAAUUCUCUGCAAUUUUUUUUGAUCGAAAUGUAUUUUUAGAUAGAGUAACUAUUGCUAAACACGAAUAUAAUCUGAAUUUUCCAAAAAAAAAAAAUUCCGAGUUUUUCCGUAGAACACUGAUAGUAAAAAGUAGCCCUUGGGGCAAAAUGGUGAAUUUGGUGUUUUUUUUUAAAUAACUUUUUAAAUUGAAAAAAAAAUAGUUUUCAUUAAUCAGUAUAACUAAAGAAAUUUAAAAAAAAAGAAAUUUCUUAAAUCUAACGUUUUUAGUUUUUUGUAUUUUUUUUUUUUAUUAAAAAAAGUCUUAAUGGGUACACAAAUCCCUUAUUCUCAAUAGAUAUUAUUAGUGCCUUGCUAAAAUAUUUUGAUUAAAUUAAGAUUAGGGAACAAAAAACCGCAAUUCACCAUUUUACCCCAGAUUUGGGGCAAAAUGGUGAAAGUGCAAGGGUUUGGAAAAUGGACUGAAAAUGCAUUUUCCCGUUGAGAUAGAAAGAAAUCGUCUGAGACAAAGUUGUAGCCCGGAAAAUUUGCUAUAAGAUAGUUGUCAUGGUAAAACUUAAAUAUUUCCACGGAACUCAGGAAAAAUUACUUCCCGAAAAUUCACCAUUUUUCCCAGGAUCCCCUAUUGCUUAAGGUAAAUUUCAAAAGGGCAUUACUCCGGGCUGUCGUUGGCUGAUUAUCAAAAAUCCACUAGUUUUAGAAAGGUGAAAUAUGUACUUUUCUAGAAUUGGCGGAUUUUUUUAAAUCGGUUCAUUAAGCUAAACCGCGUUUCUUGUUUGACAGUGACAGCGCAAUACAAUUUGACAAGGAGCAAGUGAGAAAAAACAACGAACAACGUCUUUUGACGCUGUCGUAUGGGUACAGCUUUAUAGUCGUAGAUACACCUUCUUGAAAUUUACUGGAAACUUUUUGAUGACAGUGUAUGAUUUGGAUAAAAAGUUCAUAAAUUCUAGACUCGUGUAAAUUUUGUACAAACCUCCUAAUGUUAUUGUAUUUUACUAUAAUAAUAAGAAUAAGGAAAAAAGAACUGUUGUAAUAAAAUAAAAACUUGUAGCUAAUUAAUUAAUAUUACAUAAUUACCAUGACAGAAGAGUAAAUGACAAAAUCUUGUAAAUUCAUUUAAUAAUGGUGAAGAAAAAUGAAGAAAUGCUGAAGACAAUGUUCCUAAAAGUUAUACUUAAAUCCUUCCCUGUGCAUUUAUUUGAUACAAUGUUUUUUAAGGAAAAAUAAAGAAAAAUGCAUAUUUCAAGAAAGAAAAA
This is an RNA transcript of Lutzomyia longipalpis, 3208 nucleotides long. It is a transcript of the gene named ras-related and estrogen-regulated growth inhibitor-like protein, with no coding region annotated. NCBI's taxonomy places the organism in Eukaryota, Metazoa, Arthropoda, Insecta, Diptera, Psychodidae. The transcript is spliced from 8 exons. The record is from RefSeq and is a predicted model, not a curated record.